GACUUCAUUUCCCAGCCUCUUGCUAUAGUCUCUCACCUAAACUCUAAGAUAUGGAAAGAUAUUGGGAUCAGCAGGUUUGCCUAAAGGACCCACUGCAUUUAUGGAGAAACUGAAAAAUGAAAAAGUAGCUCCUAGAACUCGUGCCAGCGAGAACUUGCACAGACCGCUUACUUCCUUCUCUCCGCUCCCAUCAGCAUGAAUUUCAUGUGUACUCCAGUUAGCGGCACGUAACUCUACCUUGAUUCACAUAUUUUAGUAACUUCACUCCAGUAAACUGUUUGAG
Molecule: long non-coding RNA, 283 nt
Organism: Pan troglodytes (chimpanzee)
Lineage: Eukaryota; Metazoa; Chordata; Mammalia; Primates; Hominidae
Exons: 3
Source: RefSeq, a predicted model, not a curated record